This 200-nucleotide long non-coding RNA is filed under the name Carica papaya (papaya). RNAcentral describes it as "long non-coding RNA (CPAP_LNC011194)". The record is from RNAcentral. Lineage: Eukaryota; Viridiplantae; Streptophyta; Magnoliopsida; Brassicales; Caricaceae.
AACAUUUUUUUGUUUGCUUGAAAUUCGAUUUUAAACACCCUCAUGGCCAAAUGAAGUAAAAGAACCAGCAGAUUAGCAGAAAACUGCGAGCAAAAUCCAGCGGUGCAGCCGCAGGAAAUUACAAAAACUGCUUCCAAUGAGACUCUUUCCAAUUUUCAUUCUGCAUAAUUCUUCCACCAUUGUAAUCACCGUUUCCUUCU